GAGAGGAAAGUGGAAUUCCUAGUGUAGCGGUGAAAUGCGUAGAUAUUAGGAGGAACACCGGUGGCGAAGGCGACUUUCUGGACAAUAACUGACGUUGAGGCACGAAAGUGUGGGGAGCAAACAGGAUUAGAUACCCUGGUAGUCCACACCGUAAACGAUGGAUACUAGGUGUAGGAAAUGAUUUCAUUUUCUGUGCCGUCGCAAACGCAAUAAGUAUCCCACCUGGGGAGUACGGCCGCAAGGUUGAAACUCAAAGGAAUUGACGGGGGCCCGCACAAGCAGUGGAGUAUGUGGUUUAAUUCGAAGCAACGCGAAGAACCUUACCAGGGCUUGACAUAUAGAUGAAUAACUAAGAGAUUAGUUAGUCCUUCGGGACAUCUAUACAGGUGGUGCAUGGUUGUCGUCAGCUCGUGUCGUGAGAUGUUAGGUUAAGUCCUGCAACGAGCGCAACCCCUGUGAUUAGUUGCCAACAGGUUAAGCUGGGAACUCUAAUCAGACUGCCGGUGAUAAAUCGGAGGAAGGUGGGGAUGACGUCAAAUCAUCAUGCCCUUUAUGUCCUGGGCUACACACGUACUACAAUGGCUGUAACAGAGAGAAGCAACACCGCGAGGUAGAGCGAAACUCUAAAAGCAGUCUCAGUUCGGAUUGAAGGCUGAAAUUCGCCUUCAUGAAGCCGGAAUUGCUAGUAAUGGCAGGUCAGCAUACUGCCGUGAAUACGUUCCCGGGCCUUGUACACACCGCCCGUCACACCAUGAGAGUUGGGAAUACCCGAAGCCUGUGAGCCAACUGUAAAGAGGCAGCAGUCGAAGGUAGAAUCA
RNAcentral lists this ribosomal RNA (818 nucleotides) under uncultured organism. RNAcentral's name for it is "SSU rRNA". It matches the Rfam family "Bacterial small subunit ribosomal RNA", at positions 652 to 1470 of the family's 1533-position model. The record is from RNAcentral.